GCGGCCUUGGCGGAACUGGCAGACGCGCACGGUUCAGGUCCGUGUGCCUUCGGGCAUGGAGGUUCAAGUCCUCUAGGCCGCACCA
Molecule: transfer RNA, 85 nt
Filed under: Clostridia bacterium
Lineage: Bacteria; Bacillati; Bacillota; Clostridia
Description: tRNA-Leu
Rfam family: tRNA
About the family: Transfer RNA (tRNA) molecules are approximately 80 nucleotides in length. Their secondary structure includes four short double-helical elements and three loops (D, anti-codon, and T loops).
Source: RNAcentral